GCGGGCAUGGUGUAGUGGUAACACAAGAGCCUUCCAAGCUCUCGUCACGGGUUCGAAUCCCGUUGCCCGCU
This 71-nucleotide transfer RNA is filed under the name Anaerolineae bacterium. RNAcentral's name for it is "tRNA-Gly". It matches the Rfam family "tRNA". From Rfam's summary of the family: Transfer RNA (tRNA) molecules are approximately 80 nucleotides in length. Their secondary structure includes four short double-helical elements and three loops (D, anti-codon, and T loops). RNAcentral also lists the same sequence under 1 other name. The record is from RNAcentral. Lineage: Bacteria; Bacillati; Chloroflexota; Anaerolineae.